CUGCCGUUGUUCUGGGGUCACCUCAGAGGGCUGGGAGGCGAGAUGUGUGGCCAGAAGAGUGAACACAUCCCCUCCACUGUUGAGUAGUUGCAACAAAGGUUGAUCAUCUGCUAGGCUGGGCUCAUGCAUGGUGAUGCGGCCCGUGGAGGUGAAGGUGUGACUCACUGGGUGGAUGCGGUCCAUUGCUAGCUGGGAACAGCGUAACUUCAUCUGCUGCAGUGGCAGUACCACCUGGCCACAGCAACACAACACAUGUGCUAAUUAUUUCUUUUACCAUAACUUUACAUCUCACCUUGUGUUGGAGGCAAUGCUGGAGCCUCGAGAUGAAGGCUGAGGAAGAUGGAGUUCACUGUACAAAACUUUGCUAAUCUCAACUGGGGAAGUGAGACUGAAGGAAUGACCAACCAGACUGUAUGCCUCAUUUUCAAGGGAAGACAGUUUUGCCUGAGGAGAGAUAGAAUAUGAUGUAUGUGUGUAUUUACGUGUGUUGUUCAAAGAAAAAAUAUUACUCCAAUUAAGUAGAAAAAAUAAUUCAAUCCAUGGAAUUCACCACUGACUCAUUCACUUUAUCUACCCAACUUCACAUAAUCUCUUUUUUAGCACCACAAUACAGUUACGCAAUCUGUCAAGUGAGAGUCCUAGAAGCAGCACAGCUCAAACGUCACUUUUUGAAAGCUGAGAAACUCACUCUAAAGUCCAGGAACAAUAACUUCACUUCUCGCAAACAUAUCAACCUCAAACAAGUUUCAUAUGAAAAGCAAGUUCUACAGAACUUUUUGUGACCCAAAAUAAAAAAAUCAUCACAGAA
Long non-coding RNA from Portunus trituberculatus (swimming crab), 808 nucleotides. RefSeq lists it as uncharacterized. The record is from RefSeq and is a predicted model, not a curated record. NCBI's taxonomy places the organism in Eukaryota, Metazoa, Arthropoda, Malacostraca, Decapoda, Portunidae. The transcript has 3 exons.